Molecule: non-coding RNA, 731 nt
Filed under: Cheumatopsyche charites
Lineage: Eukaryota; Metazoa; Arthropoda; Insecta; Trichoptera; Hydropsychidae
Source: RNAcentral
AAAUAAAUAUAUUUUAAAUAAAUAUCUUAAUAAUUAAUAUUAUUAUUUAAAUUAAAUAAAUUUAAAAUUAGUAAUAUAUUAAUAUUAUUAAUAAAAAUUGUGCCAGCAAUUGCGGUUAAACAAUUAAUAAAAAAUAAAUUCAAAUUAAAUUUAAUUUCUUUAAAUAUUAAUAAAUAAUAAAAAUUAAUUAAUAAAGUUAAAUUAUUAAAUUAAUUUAUAAAAAUUAAUUUUAAAAAAAAAAAUUUAAUAAUUUGCAAAAAAAACUAGGAUUAGAUACCCUAUUAUUAAAUAAAAUUUUAAAAAUUUAAUUAAUAAAAAAAAUUAAAAUUAAAGAAUUUGACGGUAUUUUAAUCAUUUUAGAGGAAUUUGUAUAGUAAUUGAUAAUCCACAAUUUAUUAAACUUAAUUUAAUAGAAUUUGUAUAUCGUUGUUAUAAAAAUAUUUUUUAUAAAUUAAUUAAUAUUUUAUAUUUUAAAAUUUAAAUUUAUAUCAAAUCAAGAUACAAUUAUAUAAUUAAGAAUAUUAUGAAUUACAUUAAAAAUAUAAAUUUAUAGUUUAAAUAAAUGAAAAAUUUUAAAAUAAAUUGGAUUUAAAUGUAAUAAAAAAAAAAUAUUUUUUAUGAUUAAUGUUUUAAAAUAUGUACAUAUUGCCCGUCACUCUUAAUAAAUAAAUAUAAUUUAAUUAAGAUAAGUCGUAACAAAGUAGAUAUAUUGGAAAAUGUUUCUAGAAAAU